Molecule: long non-coding RNA, 495 nt
Organism: Sitophilus oryzae (rice weevil)
Lineage: Eukaryota; Metazoa; Arthropoda; Insecta; Coleoptera; Curculionidae
Exons: 2
Source: RefSeq, a predicted model, not a curated record
AUCAUUUUUAGCUAUGGUAAAAUAGGAUACAUUAAAAUACGCAACCAACCGUCAUUGAACCGUCCAAUCAGAUCAAAGGAGUAAUCGUCGUAGAUCGUGCGUUAUCGAUAAUGUUCGGUGCCUGGAGAAAAUUGACAAUUGACAAGAGAAUUGUUUAUUAUUUUUGACUUUUUAGUUCGUUUAAUUUAAUAAUUACUAAAACCAGUAGUUCGAAAGAUAUAUUUAAAAAUAAAAGAUAAAAAUCCAAAAAAUUAAUUAUCUAUUAACGUGGAUUUGGACGACAAUAGGUUUUUAGUUUGUGAUGUUUCAUGUGAUGAUCAUUUUCAUGUUCAUCGUCUUUGAAUUGACAUGAGGAUAUCUAUGGAAAAGUAACUAAUCUGAAAGUAAGCCAACAUAUCGUUUGUCCUUUGUGUGCUAAAGAAAAGAUUUUCUUUUCGCAUCAUGAGGAAGUAUUACAUCAAUUAAAAAUGUUAGGAAGUUGAUUACUUGUCAUGG